GAUGAACGCUAGCUACAGGCUUAACACAUGCAAGUCGAGGGGCAGCACAGUGUAGCAAUACAUGGGUGGCGACCGGCGCACGGGUGCGUAACGCGUAUCCAACCUUCCCGUUACUCUUGGAUAGCCUUCCGAAAGGGAGAUUAAUACAAGAUGGUAUUCAAAUUCCGCAUGUUAUUUGAAUUAAAGAUUUAUCGGUAUCGGAUGGGGAUGCGUGACAUUAGAUAGUAGGCGGGGUAACGGCCCACCUAGUCUACGAUGUCUAGGGGUUCUGAGAGGAAGGUCCCCCACACUGGAACUGAGACACGGUCCAGACUCCUACGGGAGGCAGCAGUGAGGAAUAUUGGUCAAUGGUCUGACGACUGAACCAGCCAUGCCGCGUGAAGGUCACGGCCCUAUGGGUCUUAAACUUCUUUUGUAAGGGAGCAAUAAGGUCUACGUGUAGAUCGAUGAGAGUACCUUACGAAUAAGCAUCGGCUAACUCCGUGCCAGCACCG
This 494-nucleotide ribosomal RNA is filed under the name uncultured bacterium. RNAcentral's name for it is "bacterial SSU rRNA". It matches the Rfam family "Bacterial small subunit ribosomal RNA", at positions 28 to 516 of the family's 1533-position model. The record is from RNAcentral.